AUGUUCCCACCCUGGAUGCUUUUAGAAAGCAAGAGGAGGAUGCAUUGGUUCAAGGGACGGUGGAGAGGUUCACAUCAUUUCCAUCUCCUCAUCUGGCUCCUGCUGCUGGCACUGGCUCCACCCACAGCACUUGCUUCCUUCCUGGGGGACACCAAGGCAGUAUUAAACGGCUGUGAGGACCACUGGACCCUGCAGGCCAGGGCCGCCGUCCCUCAGCUCUCUCGGAUGACGCUGUGCGUCCACAUCCGUGUGGUGGCCCCCGGGGCCUGGGAGGCCUUCUCCUACAGCUCCACCUACGCGCCCAGACCCCAGCUGGGUUUGGAGGGAGACGACGGGGCGCUGUACGUGUGGCUGCUCAGCAAACGGCACAGGUUUCCUGUCCGGCUGUCCCCAGAACAGUGGCACUGGGUGUGUCUUCGGAUGGACGCACCUGGCAACUCCUUUGGCAUGAAGGUGGAUGGGGAGGUGGUGGCUGAGAGGACGGUCUCCGCUCAGGCCAUCCCCUCGGCCGGCUCCCUCUGGCUGGGCUGUGGUCCCAGGCCCCGGACCCCGGGGGCCAAACGCGGAGCGCUGGAGCUCUACCUGUUCGGCAUGUGGGCGGACCUGGGCGACCACGGGCCCUGUGAGGACGGGACCCUGGUUCCCUGGGACGCUGAGUCCUGGGGAGUGACCAGUCCCAGAGCUGCAAAGAGGGACCACAGCCUGAUGUGUGGCGAGACGAACCACAGACGCUUGAGACGCCGCAGAAGAGAUCUCUUGAGUUCUGCUCCAGCAAUAACUACAGCAAUAGGCGUCAUCGCAGACAUCCUGGCGCCACCUGUGACACCAGCUCUGCCCACUCAAACCAGCCCAGCCAAUCAGAUGCCAAGCAUGCUUCUGCCUGUCAAUCAAAGCACACCUGGAAUAUCACUCAUAUCAGGUUAUUUAAAUUGUAACAUCAGCCAACUCUGCUCAAACAACAGUAAGAGACAAUCAACAUUUGGCCCAUCACAGUUUCACAUUCAAGCACAUCUGGUCUUUUUUGUGACGUUGUAUGUUCAUACAGCUGCCUACUUUUGGAUGUCCAUAAGUGUGCAAGUCAGCGGGGGCAACGGGAUCGACCAAUCCGUUGUGAGAGAUCUGGUGUCCAGUGCGUUUGACUGCACAAAGUGGCUGGCAGGCUUCUGCCAGGGGGGCAACCAGCCUCAGAUAGUGGAGGUGACCUGUGCGGUGAACACCAGCAUAAGGAACACGACCUGCAGCGUGCUGUUGAUGCUCAGCCGCGCCGUCUCGCCCUGCGAACUGCAAGUGGCUGGACAGUCUGCACUGCAGCGGUCACAGACGAUACAAGUCGCCAUCGUAGGAGUAGUGGAGCGAGUCGGUGUGAACGUGUGUGAGCAAGAGGCGCCCCCCAGUGGCGGGUUCCUGAGGUGCACCUCCUCCCUGACGCUGAGUCAGAUCUGUCAGUCCAACCAGCAGCCGACGCUGACGUGGUGAGCGCUCUUUGUUCCCAGCUAGUAGCUCCACCUGUGCCUCCACUGUCUCACCCCCAUCUCCCCACCAGCUCCCCCAUGGAGUCCGGCUCCAACCCAGUCUCGGUUUUACAGCCCCAGUCCGACACCUGCGUCUGUGAGUAACCCACAGGCUCACUGUGCUCUGCAGGAUUCGGUGUCGCUUCUGCUGCUGCUUAACCAUGUUUCUCUGUGCCUCAGGGGAAGCGUCUCGCUUUUGUGACUGCACCGCUUUUUGUAGCUCCUCAAGUAAGAAAAUGCGACGUGUUACUGUAUGUGUCUACGUCAGGUUAUGCUGGCCUGCCAUCAAAAGGCGUGUCUGUAUGUGUAGAAACAAAAGUGAUAUUAAAGCAUUAAAGUCUCGGAGCAGAAGGUCGUAAAUGUUUUUUGAAGGUUUGGAUCUGAGGCCAGAGCUCUGCCCUGAGCUUCCUUUGUCAUGCUUUAUGUCCUUUCUUACUGUGUUUUUCUUUUCAGGCCAGUUUUUUUGCUACGGAAAUUAUUAUCACAGACUCUUCUAUUACCAUGAGUGUCCUUCAGAACGUGGUACGUGCAACACAGCAAUGCACAGCUGUUCAGUACAUCCUGUUCUACGCUCUGUCCUGACUGUCUGCUUUUAUUGAACAGUUGUCAGAACUUCGAGUCCUUCACGCAUGUGAGCCGGG
RNAcentral lists this long non-coding RNA (2152 nucleotides) under Betta splendens (Siamese fighting fish). RNAcentral's name for it is "lncRNA (ENSBSLG00000016237.1)". Lineage: Eukaryota; Metazoa; Chordata; Actinopteri; Anabantiformes; Osphronemidae. The record is from RNAcentral.